Molecule: long non-coding RNA, 3459 nt
Organism: Betta splendens (Siamese fighting fish)
Lineage: Eukaryota; Metazoa; Chordata; Actinopteri; Anabantiformes; Osphronemidae
Exons: 2
Source: RefSeq, a predicted model, not a curated record
ACACACACACACACACACACACGCAUCCACAUGAGCAGACCAGGUCAAGUUGCACACACACACUUUCUCAUCAAUUUUUUUUUAUCUUUCCCUCUCUUUCACCGAAUCAUAUCUUCAUUCUCAGUUUUUUUAUCCGUCUCUUCAUAAAUAUAUACUCCAGUUAUUGUUUCUUUUAUAAAGUUAAGUAUGUUCUACACGUGUGACCACUGUCUUCGCUGAGUGAAUGAUCUAGAGUCAAAUGUUCCUCCUUUACACAUCUACCAUGCCUGGAUCUUUUUCAUCAUUCUCCCUUUUAGCCAAUCAUUGCUGCAUUUUCUGCUUUUCAUGCGCCGUCUUUGAUCCGUGGAUCUCGAUAGUCUCUGAGGCUGCGGCAGAACACAAGUGAUGGACGUCAAUACAACUUCUGUGCUAUUCCCUGGAAUCCGCCGCUCGCAUCUAGAGCCCCGCUUAAGAUUCCGCGUCCACGUUUCGAGCUUUUUUUUUACCCCUCAAGUUCUUGUGACGCAAGCUCAGAUACUUAAACCCGAUAAUUCGCGUGCGGAUAUGAAUGUUUCAGCUUUGACAGAGGAAAUUAAACAGAACUGAUGAAACUCCAGACGCCGACAGGAUAAGCUGCGUUCGACGGAUACCGGGGUCUACCUGCCAAUCUCUCCAUCCCUGGCGCUAAUGAUGUGCCUGAAUAUCCCCCGCCCUGAAUCCAUCUCAUCUCUCUCCUCUUCCCUUCUCUGUCUAUCCAUCUCCUCUCCACCUUCCCCCCACUGAGUCUGUGCUCCAGACGCUAAUGAUGGGCCCACGUGCGCGCGCUCACGCUCGCGCCCGCGUUGCGAAGGGCUGAAGGGGCUGACAACGAGCUGUCCACCUACGGAGCAGCCGAGCGCCCGGGAAGGUGCUGUUACCAAGUAGAAGGCGUCCACACGCGUUGCACGGUGUGUGAGAAGCAUGAAGUCACACGCUGAGAGGCUGAGGAAGGCGGCCUAUGAACACAACCACACUAAGUUCGUGUAAAAAAGGGAAAAAGCUUUGAAUCGGUGUUGAGCGGGAUCACGGGGAAACACGGGAGCAUCAUGAAGGAGCUGUGUUGGAGGAAUGAAUAAUUCAGGGGUUAUAGCAGUAAAGCAGAAGUCACACAAACAAAUAAAUAAAUGCUGUUCCAUCGCAUCCCGUCACACUCAUUCACAUCCCAGUUUUUCCUGGUGAUACAAGCUCAGAUAUUCAAAUCCAAUAAUCCAUCCACGGAUAUUAAUGAUUCAGUCAUUGCAGAGGAAAUUAAACUAAGCUAAUCAUAGUCAAACUCCAGGCGCUGUUGCUAUUUUAAGGCCGACCGGAUGCGCUAUAGUAGAUGGAUUUAGGAUCUGUCAAUCACGUUUAUUUAGCCAAAUGCAUAUUUAAGGGGAAAUUGGCUCAUUUUUAUACUGAGAAGUUAAAUGAGACAUCUGGCUGCCAAUUUAUGAUGGAAGAGCAAUUGUAGGUCAAACUGCGUCUUUCACUUAAAGGUAGUAGGAGGAAAACCUCACACUCACAUACUGUCAUUGCUGUUUGUGUUGUAAGAAAGUAGUGGGUUAUGUGUAGGUUUGUGUGUUUAGAAGGGCAGCUGUAACGAGGCAGUGCUGCAGGGAGAAGAAGAAGAAAAUGAACAGUAAUACAUGUUAAAGACAGCAGAUGUGCUGGGAGGUGUGCAGGCAAAGGUUUGUCAUUAAUAUGUAGGAAAAAAGUUUAAACUUCUGAAAGACAGUGACAAGAACAAUGUUGAUGACGAUGACACAAUGCUGGAAACACGAGACAACAUUUAAACAAAGCAAUGAAACUGUGAAGAUCCGUGACAUGUUUUUGUAUAAAAUUGAUUUCAAUUAACGUUUAUUUAAGAUUAGUGACAUGCUUUUGUAUAAAAUUGAUUUCAAUUAACGUUUAUUUAAUGUUCAAAUUAACACUAACGAGACCUCAACCAGGUUUUCUUCCGACACAAACUUGUUCGGUUCCACUCCGAUGCUCCAGAACCCAGCGCGUGGACCUGUCUCCGCUCACAGAACCUCGGCUUCGGCGACGUGUGGCUGAACAGGAACACGCGUUGAGAAAGACUCAGGUUUCCCUCAAAUCUAAAUGCUAAUGCGGAGGCAGAGCUAUUACUGCGGUUUACUGUGCUCGGGCGCGUGCUGAGCGUUUGGGCGUGCGGCGCCGAGGAUGACUGCACUUUUCCCUGCACAUGGAUCACCUGCUUGUUUAAUCCAGGUCACAGCCGUAUGCGGGUACGACUGGAGGGCGCUGCAGUACUGCUUCCUGAGCGGCCCUUGUGUACAGGCGGUCGCUGGUGGCCACAUGCUGGGAUGAAAGACAUGAACGCAAUGAAAACCAAUGUGUUCUUUAUCAAUAAAACACACUCAGUGACAUAAUGAACCAACGUCUCUACAGCAUGAGCUGCAGCCGAGCUCUGCAGGGCAUUUAAGACAACGCUGUGGCCCAUUAGCUGCGUUCCAGCUGAAAGCUUCAAAGACAAUAAAGGGCUUCUGAAGAAUCCAUUCUCGUGUACAGUACAUUCAGCCCAUUAAUAAUAAAAAAUCCACAGCGGACCCUGACCUUCCUCUGACCUUCAUGUGAUCCAUAGGCUUCUGUAGCUGGUCUUUGCUUCAUCAGAGCAUCGUCUGCAAACAUCGGUGCAGUGACUGUGAACGCGGCCGUUUGCUCUGCUAUGACAUUUGCCAUUGACUCGCAGCACAUGCAUAAUGGAUAAAGGCGUAAUUCCAGUUAAGAUCGGAACAGAAACUCACAAUUCAAUGUUCAUAUUCAUUACUGAGUCCAGGAAUUUCACUUCAAUAUCUGCUUUCAACAGCAGGAUUCCGUCUCUCCUGUAUCAGAUGCCACAACGCGAUCGAUAUUCGAACAAAAAAAAAAGGCAAAACAAUGCAAAUCAAUAGGUUUCGGUAAAAGGAUCAUCAGUUGUCUGUGCUUGAGUAUGUUUUUCUUUUUUUAUCGUUUCCAGGAUUCCCAGGUAUCAUCCUCACAGAGGGAAGUUACUAUGAAUCUGCAGCUGUAAUGUACACACCACACACUGAAUUAGUCCUUAAGUAUGACAUGAUCAUUAAGAGACUACUUAGUAUCAUGUGUCACUUUACCUGAGGCUACAAUGUAAAAAUAAGUCAUGCUAUACAUUAUUUUUAUGAGUUGUUGCCAGUUUGUUUCAGCUACUAAUGAGUAAUAAGUGAUGUGUCAUUAAACCCUCUCCCGGCCUGUUCUCCAACACUCAUCAUCUUAUUAUGUGCUCUGCGGUUACUCAAAGUCCACUUAUCAUUAAGUACAGAAUUAUUAAUAUACUGCUUGUUCUUUCCAGUACUCAGCACUGCACUCAUUAACAAUUGAUUAUCAGUUUUCCCCUUGAUUCAUUCCUAUGUGGCUUAGUGGCGUAAUCGAUUAUGCCGUUGUACUUUAUCUUGUGUGACCGGCCUCCGCAGCAAAACACCUUUGCCU